RNAcentral lists this ribosomal RNA (450 nucleotides) under uncultured bacterium. Its description in RNAcentral is "partial 16S ribosomal RNA". It matches the Rfam family "Bacterial small subunit ribosomal RNA", at positions 338 to 795 of the family's 1533-position model. The record is from RNAcentral.
CCUACGGGUGGCAGCAGUAGGGAAUAUUGGACAAUGGGCGAAAGCCUGAUCCAGCCAUGCCGCGUGAUAGAUGAAGGCCCUCUGGGUGGUAAAUAUCUUUUAUCUGGGAAGAAACAAUCUUAUUCUUAAGAUCUUGACGGUACCAGAGGAAUAAGCACCGGCUAACUCCGUGCCAGCAGCCGCGGUAAUACGGAGGGUGCAAGCUUUACCCGGAUUCACUGGGUUGUAAGGGUGCUUAGGCGGGCGGGGAGAAAGCUCCGAGCUUAACUUGGAAACUGCCAUUGAUACUGCCAGUCUUGAAUGUCGUAGAGGUAAGCGGAAUGUUGCAUGUAGCGGUGAAAUGCUUAGAGAUGUUACAGAACACCAAUUGCGAAGGCAGCUUACUAUGCGAUGAUUGACGCUGAGGCACGAAAGCGUGGGGAGCAAACAGGAUUAGAUACCCGUGUAGUC